RNAcentral lists this ribosomal RNA (369 nucleotides) under uncultured bacterium. RNAcentral describes it as "partial 16S ribosomal RNA". It matches the Rfam family "Bacterial small subunit ribosomal RNA", at positions 338 to 699 of the family's 1533-position model. The record is from RNAcentral.
CCUACGGGUGGCAGCAGUGGGGAAUAUUGCGCAAUGCUCGCAAGAGUGACCCAGCGACGCCGCGUGAAUGACGAAGGCCUUAGGGGCGUAAAGUUGUUUCGACAGGGAAGAAAAUGCCUAUAAGUAAAUGGGUAUGUAUUGACGGUACCUGUAUAAGCAGCCCCGGCUAACUCCGUGCCAGCAGCCACGGUAAUACGGAGGAGGCGAGCGUUGUUCGGAUUGACUGGGUGUAAAGAGCACGUAGGCGGUGUUGUAAGUCAUUAGUCAAAGAGUGGAGCUCAACAUUAGUAAGGCUAGUGAUACUAUAGUACUAGAGUAUCAGUGCGGAUGGCAGAAUGUCUGGUGUAGCGGUGAAAUGCUUAGAGAUCA